Molecule: long non-coding RNA, 1198 nt
Organism: Schistocerca piceifrons (Central American locust)
Lineage: Eukaryota; Metazoa; Arthropoda; Insecta; Orthoptera; Acrididae
Exons: 3
Source: RefSeq, a predicted model, not a curated record
UUGUGGCAGAAAGCCUUCAUGCUUCAUACUAUCACCUGCUCAGCAGUUUCGUAACUGUUGGGAACUUGGAAGAACACCAUCUGUUUUUUAUGAAGCUCUCAGUCCUAUGCAGAAAGUGAUGACCUUUGAAAGAUGGUGGUGUGUUUUAACAGAUGAACUUGAUCUCUGCAUUCAGAGAUCUGUGGAGAACAUGUCCUUUGAAGCUGAAAACUCACCUUAGAACAUAUAGGCCGCCCGCUGUGGCCGACCGGUUCUAGGCGCUUCAGUCCGGAACCACGCAGCUGCUAUGGUCGCAGGUUCGAAUCCUGCCUCAGGCGUGGAUGUGUGUGAUGUCCUUAGGUUAGUUAGGCUUAAGUAGUUCUAAGUCUGGGGUCUGAUGACCUCAGAUGUCAAGUCCCAUAAUGCUUAGAGCCAUUUGAACCAUUUUUGAACAUGCAGUUAGCAAUUCAUUGUGAAGUAAAUUUGCAGAUUUGUUCCACAAACUUGAACCAUUUAGUUACGUAAAAGGCUUCAGUAAGGUCACAAAAUAUACCAGCUGGAUUAUUUUGGUUGUUUUUAGUUCUGCUAGGUUUUCAUUCAUAAGGGUAUAUGGUGGCUGCUACAUGUGAAACUCAAAAGUAUUUAGCAAAUUUUGUUUGAGUUAAGGACUGAUUACGAAUACGGCUCAAGGUUAAUUGUAUCAACCUUUCACAAGAUUUUACUAAUCUGCUACAAACACUGUCAUGGAAAAAUAUUGCUGCUUUUAGCAACUUGAUGGUAUUUUUAAUUCCCUUUGGUCUUGCAUAUUUGAUAUUAACGAUGUUUGGUGAUGUAAAAAGUAUUGAAUUAUCAAUUUCACGGCUGAAAUGCCACAAUUAUUAAAAUAUUUCUGGCUAUUAUUCUGUGGUUUUUCCUGAUUUCUUUGAUGACUUGUGGCAUAUAAGUUCUUGUAUUCCAUUUGGAACUAAUUAAAGAAUGGAAACUCCAGGUAGGAAUAUCAACAAUUCAGGAAAAGGUAGAUUGCUACUCACUGUAAAGGAGACAUGUUAAGUUGCAGACAGGCAUAAUUAAUAUGCAAGUUAAUGUGUCUUCUUUAUGGUAAGUAGCAAUUUGUUUUUUUCUGGAGCAUUAAUUGUUUGUAGAAUGCAAAGGUUACAAUAUUUACACUGUAACCAAAGGAGUAAGCGACUGUUUUCUUCAAAGUGAAAGUGCUUUGCAA